Homo sapiens (human) is the source of this 626-nucleotide long non-coding RNA. Ensembl annotates it as long intergenic non-protein coding RNA 2223. Lineage: Eukaryota; Metazoa; Chordata; Mammalia; Primates; Hominidae. The record is from Ensembl.
ACUGCAUACUUGAGUGGCAGAAAUUAAAGUUGCUAGCUAGUGAGCAAAAAUGAAUACUAAUUCUAGCUGCUCCUGAGUCCAGAGAGCGGCACACUCCAUCUCAGUGAAGUAGCUCUUUCUGAGAUUCCUCAUCCGUGGGGCUUUUCAGUUAAUCAAGAGAGUAUGUCCAGGCUAGUCUACUUAGGCAAGGUCGAGGCAAGAGGAAGCUAAAUGGCUCUGCCUGAAAAGAGAAGACAGGAAUUUUUAAAGUGGGCAAAACAAGAAUGAUAAUAGGCAUGUCUCAAGGUUGCUGUGUGGACCAGCUAAAGCCCUAUGUAAGAAAGCACUUCACAUACAGAAGAGGGGCCUACAAAUUUGAGAACUAGUCCAGCAUAUUCUGGUUGGGUUCACCUUCUCUCUGAUCAUCCACCAUUGGCCACCUUUGGGUGACAUCUCACGGCUGAAUAAGCUGAAAAUGACAUUAUUCUGAACCAUCAAUAUCUCCCGAUUUAAAAAUGUCUUCCCUCCGUCUUCUCUUUUUUCAUCUCUACUCCCAUCACCAUCUCACUGAAGUUGUACAACAUCAUGCAGUCAUUUAUAUUCACCUAUUUAAAAUAAAAACCUAAUCAUACCAAGCAGAAGAAAAA